GGUGCUGUAGACUAAUUGGUUAGGUCGACUCCACAGAACGAAGGACAUGCGGGUUCGAAUCCCACCGGCCCCC
Acanthoscelides obtectus is the source of this 73-nucleotide non-coding RNA. Lineage: Eukaryota; Metazoa; Arthropoda; Insecta; Coleoptera; Chrysomelidae. The record is from the annotation of a GenBank genome assembly.